GGGUAGCUUGGAAAAGUGGGUUCCACGUGGUUCAUCUCUAGCUCUCUGCUCUCAUUUGGGUUGCGUUGGUACGAAUCAGGAAACUCGAAAUAUGCUGUAUCCGAAAGUGCACCCGGGAAACAUUUAUCGAAUAAGGGGCAUACUGUUUGCAAUCCCUCGGGUCAUGCUCCCGCAAAAUUAAUCACUUCCUGGAUGACAUGUUCAACCUAAACUGGAAAUAUGUUGGCUGUUGAUAUGACAUCCUCCGGUAAGAAUUACCCAUCACAAUGAC
Molecule: long non-coding RNA, 271 nt
Organism: Papaver somniferum (opium poppy)
Lineage: Eukaryota; Viridiplantae; Streptophyta; Magnoliopsida; Ranunculales; Papaveraceae
Exons: 3
Source: RefSeq, a predicted model, not a curated record